This 66-nucleotide transfer RNA is filed under the name Trichonephila inaurata madagascariensis. Its description in RNAcentral is "tRNA-Val". Lineage: Eukaryota; Metazoa; Arthropoda; Arachnida; Araneae; Nephilidae. The record is from RNAcentral.
GAGUGUAGUGGUUAUCACGUUCGCUUCACACGCGAAAGGUCUCCGGUUCGAUCCCGGACGGAACCA